Pyrus x bretschneideri (Chinese white pear) is the source of this 668-nucleotide long non-coding RNA. RefSeq lists it as uncharacterized. The record is from RefSeq and is a predicted model, not a curated record. Lineage: Eukaryota; Viridiplantae; Streptophyta; Magnoliopsida; Rosales; Rosaceae. The transcript is spliced from 3 exons.
UGCAGCAGUGGCUCCGUCCUCCCGUCACCAACGAGCGUCAAACUAUACCUUCAGAAUCCUCUUCCCUUCCUCUUUCCAACCCUCAAGUUAGUUUCUCCAAAUUUGUAGCCGAAUUUUCUCAAUUUCAGAUCUAAGAAACGGUGACCAUAGGUAUUCCGGCCAAUUUCCAGCAAAGUCUGCCUGAAUUGGACCUCAACCAAGAGAUUGGGGACAAGGAAGGUGAAUCAAGGUUGUUUCCAACCUGGGCCGAGAAGAAUGGAAGCCUUGGAAGGUUGUGGGUGAAACUAAGGUGAAGAGGGUUCUUCUAAAAAAAUUAAGAUCAAAGAAGGAAGUUCAAUUUAUCAAGGAUCAAGGUUUGGACUGCUAGACAGCGCGUCGCCUUCGGUUUGAGGUAUGGAAUUAGUCUCGUGCUUGCAAUCUGGCCGCUUACGUGUUUAAAUUUAUGGUUUAUCAAUAUGCUCAAGAUUUGGUUAGCAGGUAGUUAUGCAAACAAAUUAAAGUUCCUUUAAGCAUAUGGUUGGUAGUCUUGGUGCCCUCCAGAUUUGUGUAAAAAUCUAGAGCCAUCUGCAUGGUCCUAUGCUAAUGAGCUGCAAGUAAAACUUCAGUAACAAUGUGUUUUUGUAUUUCUUUCUAGCGAUCAGCUCUUUGUGCUCGAAAUUUGGCGAUCA